GCUAGUGAAGGUCGGUGUGUUUGCCUUUCAUUGCAACUAAUAUCCUAACCCCUAUUUUCAUAUCCUUCUCCAUUGUUAGAGGUAGAUGGUGUGGGCUUCUUUCUGCCCUAUGGUAGAGUCUAGGGUCUUAGAGAUGAGGCAUCGGGAUCACACACUCCCCUUGUUUCUUGUUAUCUUUCUCUCUCCUCCCUCUUUUUAUGCUAUCCUCCCCCC
RNAcentral lists this long non-coding RNA (213 nucleotides) under Elaeis guineensis (African oil palm). RNAcentral describes it as "long non-coding RNA (EGUI_LNC042067)". The record is from RNAcentral. Lineage: Eukaryota; Viridiplantae; Streptophyta; Magnoliopsida; Arecales; Arecaceae.